AGCUGUGAUUACAAACGUGCCACUAUACCCGGAGCUUAUGGUCUUUUCUUAACAUUUCUUGAUGACGAGGAUGGGAUUUGAAGUGGCACCCUUGCUUUUUCCCAACACUAUCUGGACCAAUGCAUUUGCACCUGCAAGAACCCCUUGAGCUCACUUAUCUUCCUGGCUGCACCAGGGAGAAAUGAGAACCUGAAGACCGAAUCCUCUGAGAACAACAGAGAUACUUUCUUGCCAUGUACACUCCAGCAAAAACUUCGGGACCUUGAACUUUGGGUUCAUAAUCUCACAACUGAGAAGGAUUACUCCACACUCAUAGAACUGCACACCCAUUGGAACCCUUAAGGUGAAGCUAACCAGGGAAUUUUCUCCCCAGAAGAAGAAGAUAUUCUUGAUAUGAACAGCUUUUCCCAAAAUCAUGGAUCAAGAUUUCUACUAUUAUAAGACUCUUAUCUUUGAAUAUUUUUCCCUUGCUUAUACCUCUAUGAACAAUAGAAGUGAAAAGAGGGUCUAUUUUGUGCACAUAUGGGUAUACCUUUAUUUGUGAAUAAUUUUGCAGCCAGCCUUAUACAUAGAUAAACUUAUAUCUUGAUAGAUGAAAGAUGAAGGUGCAAUGUAGGUGAGAAACCUUAAUGGUAUAUACAGUGUCACAUAGUUAGAAACAGAACAUUGGUUCACUCCUCCUAACCCACAUCAUGAGUUAAAGAGAACAUUGCCAGGAGGCCUUCAC
Molecule: long non-coding RNA, 727 nt
Filed under: Homo sapiens (human)
Lineage: Eukaryota; Metazoa; Chordata; Mammalia; Primates; Hominidae
Description: HSALNT0354106
Source: RNAcentral